RNAcentral lists this ribosomal RNA (432 nucleotides) under uncultured bacterium. RNAcentral's name for it is "partial 16S ribosomal RNA". It matches the Rfam family "Bacterial small subunit ribosomal RNA", at positions 29 to 507 of the family's 1533-position model. The record is from RNAcentral.
AGCGAACGCUGGCGGCAGGCCUAACACAUGCAAGUCGAACGAACUCUUCGGAGUUAGUGGCGGACGGGUGAGUAACACGUGGGAACGUGCCUUUAGGUUCGGAAUAACUCAGGGAAACUUGUGCUAAUACCGAAUGUGCCCUUCGGGGGAAAGAUUUAUCGCCUUUAGAGCGGCCCGCGUCUGAUUAGCUAGUUGGUGAGGUAAAGGCUCACCAAGGCGACGAUCAGUAGCUGGUCUGAGAGGAUGAUCAGCCACAUUGGGACUGAGACACGGCCCAAACUCCUACGGGGGGCGGCGGUGGGGAAUCUGGGGCAAGGGGCGAAAGCCUGACGCGCCCAGGCCGGGUGAAUGAUGAAGGGCUAGGAUUGUAAAAUUCUUUCACCGGGGACGAUAAUGACGGUACCCGGAGAAGAAGCCCCGGCUAACUUCGUG